GUGCCAGCCGCCGCGGUAAUACGGAGGGGGCCAGCGUUGUUCGGAAUCAUUGGGCGUAAAGGGCGCGUAGGCGGCCCGGCAAGUCAGACGUGAAAUCCCUCGGCUCAACCAAGGAACUGCGUUUGAAACUGCCGGGCUUGAGUCCCGGAGAGGGCAGUGGAAUUCCCAGUGUAGCGGUGAAAUGCGUAGAUACUGGGAGGAACACCGGUGGCGAAGGCGGCUGCCUGGACGGGUACUGACGCUGAGGCGCGAAAGCGUGGGGAGCAAACAGGAUUAGAUACCCGAGUAGUCC
RNAcentral lists this ribosomal RNA (292 nucleotides) under uncultured bacterium. RNAcentral describes it as "partial 16S ribosomal RNA". It matches the Rfam family "Bacterial small subunit ribosomal RNA", at positions 505 to 796 of the family's 1533-position model. The record is from RNAcentral.